AGUUCAAGGACUAUAUGAAACAAAUGCUUACCCUCUGAUAUAUUUAAUGCAUAAUAAUGAGUAUAUUGGGACUGGUAAUUAUUUACUCAAGCAUAAUUUAAUAAAUUUAUUGUCUAUUUAUAAAGAUGUAAAUUUUGAGGGUCUUGCUGAUAUUAGUACUAAUACUGAUAGUAAAAAAAACAAGUUAACAAUCGAUGAGUUAACAGAUAUUGAAGAUGGAACUAAAAUUGAAAGAGUAAUAAAAAAAAGGAUGCAGUUUAUAAAUAAACAUGUAAAUAAUAAACAUUUGAUAAAACAUUCGAGUAUAAUAUAUUUGUAUGAAUUAAUAAAUAAAGAUAAUUUUUAUUUUUUAUUACAUUUUUUAUACAAAAAUAGUAAUGGAGGAGUGAUUAUAGUAAUCCCUGAAAGUUUAUAUAUAGACAGUGAAGAGUUUGUACGAAUAAAUAGUAAUAAUUUUGGGGCUAAUGUUGGUAAUAAUGUUAGAGAUAAUGAAAAUGAAAAUAUUAAAAAUAUUGCAAGUGUCAGCAACGAAAUAAUAGAAAAACGAAUUAGAUUUAUUCAAAGUAUAUUAUUUAAUUUAAAAUUAAAUCAGUAUAUUUAUUUUGUACCUAAUAAUAAAGAAAUUGAGAAAAGAUAUACAUUAUAUAAAGAUAGUUUUUUUUUUUUUGAUUUGACUAGAAAUGUUACAAUUAGUGCAAUUAAAAAUACUCAGAAUGUUGUAAAUAUGUAUGGAAAACAUUUAUUAUUUUUUUUAACAAAAGAUAAUAUUAAUAUUAAUUCUAUAUUUAAACAAAAACAAAAUAAUGAAACUUAUUUACUUUCUAAGAAAAAAACUAUUAUUUUAUCAGUAGAUUAUAACAAUUUUCAUAUUAUUAGUGACAUGUUAUUAAAAACUACAUCAACUAACACAAGUUUAUUGGUUAUGAAUGAAUUAAUGAAUAUAUUUACAAAAGUAUAUGAAAAAGAAAAUAUAGAUUAUAAUUUAUUAUUUUUUUUUACUAAUUAUUCUUAUGGUAUAAACAAUUUCAUAGAUACAAUAAAUCCAAUAUUCAAAGAAAGUAUCGAAUUUAUUAUAUGCUUAGAUAACCUAAAUGAAAACGAUUUUUUUCUUUAUGAUGAACCUAAAUUACAAGAAAAUUUAUUACUAAUGCGUUUUUAUGAUAUAUUAAAAAAAAAAGUACAACAAAAUUUACAGAAAGAAAUGCAAAUAGAAACACAAAAAAUAAAAAUCCAUAAUAAACUUUUACCUAACAUGCAUGAAUAUUUUGUAUUAAAAAAAUUGAGUAGUAUUACUUUGAGUUCCCAAAAAAACAAUUUUGUUUUUAUUAAUAAAAGACCUCUAAUUGAACAAAAAUUAAAUUUGCAUAAUCUAAAGAAACAUAUAAAAAU
Molecule: long non-coding RNA, 1389 nt
Filed under: Piliocolobus tephrosceles (Ugandan red Colobus)
Lineage: Eukaryota; Metazoa; Chordata; Mammalia; Primates; Cercopithecidae
Description: lncRNA (ENSPTEG00000000633.1)
Source: RNAcentral